Molecule: transfer RNA, 72 nt
Organism: Ovis aries (sheep)
Lineage: Eukaryota; Metazoa; Chordata; Mammalia; Artiodactyla; Bovidae
Rfam family: tRNA
About the family: Transfer RNA (tRNA) molecules are approximately 80 nucleotides in length. Their secondary structure includes four short double-helical elements and three loops (D, anti-codon, and T loops).
Source: Rfam
UCCCUGGUGGCUCAGACGGUAAAGCGUCUGCCUACAAUGCAGAAGACCCAAGUUCAAUCCCUGGGUCGGGAA